This is a long non-coding RNA of Brassica napus (rape), 1915 nucleotides long. RefSeq lists it as uncharacterized. The record is from RefSeq and is a predicted model, not a curated record. The transcript has 4 exons. Lineage: Eukaryota; Viridiplantae; Streptophyta; Magnoliopsida; Brassicales; Brassicaceae.
CGUCUCGCGCGUGGUGAUGCCGUUUGGUAUUAGACCAAUUAGAUUGGGCCUAAAAUAAUUUCAAUGGCCCGUUGUAACAACAGCCCACUACAACUUCCAAACCUAGCUUGGUCGUCGCAGUCGAGCAACGACUCCUCCAUCACCUUCAUCGUCCCAUCUGGAAAUUCAUCGGUCUCUGCAACUCGGCGUUACGGUUGAUCCACUCUAAAUCAUUCAAUUCGGUUCUUAACUCCUUAUUUAAUGAGAUAUGGUAUCGUUCGAUAUCCCUUUGUCUCCCCCUUCAUAAACCUUCAGUCCAACCAUAAUCGAAAACCUCAGUCGAAGAAUAUAAAGCUAUGGCCAUGAAACAUGCUCAGCCCUCUGGCAAGUCUCAUGUCGAACGGUGUGAUCUGAGGAUAUAGAGAGAGAGCACAGAAGGCGCGAGAGUUAAUGAUUGUGGACAUGAUCCUGCUUGACGAGAAGUCAACUCUUAUCCAAGAGACGAUCCAUGCCAGCCGCCUCAAUACUUUCAGGCGUCGUCUCAGUGAAGGUUCUGUGUAUUCGCUUAGUGGAUUUGAGGUCACACGGAGCAACAAUAAUUUCCCACUCUCUGACUCCCCAGUCUCCAUUCGUUCCAACGAUAGAACGUCCUUCGCAGAAACGACAAACUCGAAGAAGGAUAUUCCCACUGAGCUUUUUCGAUUCCGCAGCCACGAGCAGCUAUGAGCAUUGGCUAAUACGAACAGACCACUACCAUCUGAAGCGUGAACUGAUGUACCUAUCAAUUGUUAUCGGAACUGGGUGCAGCGGAUAUUGCUUACUAGCUUUAUCACCCCAUGUAAUGAUUGUUUUUCUUCUUAAAGUCAAUUAUUAAGAUUAAGAAUAUAUUGCAAAUAAAGAUGAAUAUAGAUACGAAGUUGGCCAGAGGUGAUCAGUUUUGGCUUAACCCAUCCAUAGUAUACCAUACUGAUUAUAGUUGUCAUUGUAAGUCAGACAACACUUUCUGCCUCAUUUUUAUUAUUUUCUUGCAAAACAAAACUUUUUUCCUUCUGCAUCUCCUCAAUGGGACAAUAUAAUCAAUUUGUUUUGUAUAAUAAAGAGUAGCUAACUGUGCUAUGAACGGUUGGAUAGUGUUUUUUCACUCCCCAACACUCAAAAGCUCUAACCAGUCUAUACAAUGGCUUAACUUUGCUCCAUCAUUUAAUUAUUCAUGAGAAACUGUGUGUUUAAAGAAAUAUUGUUUUAUCGAAACAGAGUGCAGUCAGUUAUGGAGUUGGAGUUCUUUUCAGGUUAGUGCUCUAUUUUAAUGGUUGAAGAAAAAUAUACCUCGAGAUUGUAAUUUAUAAGUUCUGCAACAUACUACCUCGUUCACAAAGAAAAUAUAUCAUAACAAUAAACCUAUGGUGGGAUCUUACGAGACCAAUCAGAGAAGAAGCAAACCUAAGAAGAGAAGAACAAGGAGAGGAAGAAGAAAAAUACAAAGAAGUCGAUUAUGAUGAAAACAAAGAGCAUAGAGAAGAUGGAAGUAGUAGUGGAAGAGGAAGACGAUGAUGAUGGAAUUGAUUAGCAGCAACUGUGUUGCUUACAGACACUGAAGUUCUCAAUUGGGAAUAUGCAUUUGGUAAUUGCGAGGCCUAACCUUGUGAAGCUAAUAAAACCUUCAAAGGAUUUGGACGGUUUUACAAUGCCAACAACUAUCCCAAGAAAGCAAGCGUGAAGGAAGAAGUGUAAACUUUGUAUUAAUGUUUGACCUUUAUAUAAAUAGUCCGAGAAAGUUGUGCUUUUGUAGUUUCUAUCGUUUUUAGCAAGCUCUUAAUUUGUAUUCCUAAGUUUCUUCAUCUCUUCACUGAGUCAGCACAUCUGUAUUAUUAAAAGAGAAGUACCCAUUUGAAAAUGUUCUUAUUUCAUUAAUUAAACUCUAUUUUCUUUGCUUGCA